UACCGAGGUGGCAAGCGUUGUUCGGAAUUCCUGGGCGUAAAGGGCGCGUAGGCGGCCUUCUAAGUCAGACGUGAAAUCCCCAGGCUUAACUUGGGAACUGCGUCUGAUACUGGGAGGCUUGAGUGCGGGAGAGGGAUGUGGAAUUCCAGGUGUAGCGGUGAAAUGCGUAGAUAUCUGGAGGAACACCGGUGGCGAAGGCGGCAUCCUGGACCAUUACUGACGCUGAGGAGCGAAAGCCAGGGGAGCAAACGGG
Molecule: ribosomal RNA, 253 nt
Filed under: uncultured bacterium
Lineage: Bacteria
Description: partial 16S ribosomal RNA
Rfam family: Bacterial small subunit ribosomal RNA
Source: RNAcentral